AAUUCUCAAAAACCUGUUCUUUAACAAGAAAAGGAUUUUUGGACUUGGAGGUUUAAUGCUGGCCUUUGUCUUGAAAGCAAGCUCCUCUGAAAUAGAUUAGUAGGAUCUGCUUUGCUGAUUCUUAAUGUGAUAAGAUGUUUCUACAUUUUGGAUUUAGCACUGUCUUUUGGAUGCCUGCUUCUAACUGUCUUAUGGACAAUGAUGGUGUCUCCGGUCACUGCUAUUUAUAUUGGCAGGAGGCUAGACCCACAUAAAAGAAAAAA
Molecule: unclassified non-coding RNA, 263 nt
Filed under: uncultured Russula
Lineage: Eukaryota; Fungi; Basidiomycota; Agaricomycetes; Russulales; Russulaceae
Description: sequence contains ITS2
Source: RNAcentral